This 497-nucleotide ribosomal RNA is filed under the name uncultured bacterium. Its description in RNAcentral is "partial 16S ribosomal RNA". It matches the Rfam family "Bacterial small subunit ribosomal RNA", at positions 28 to 507 of the family's 1533-position model. The record is from RNAcentral.
GAUGAACGCUGGCGGCGUGCCUAAUACAUGCAAGUCGAGCGAACAGACGAGGAGCUUGCUCCUCUGACGUUAGCGGCGGACGGGUGAGUAACACGUGGAUAACCUACCUAUAAGACUGGGAUAACUUCGGGAAACCGGAGCUAAUACCGGAUAAUAUAUUGAACCGCAUGGUUCAAUAGUGAAAGACGCUUUUGCUGUCACUUAUAGAUGGAUCCGCGCCGUAUUAGCUAGUUGGUAAGGUAACGGCUUACCAAGGCAACGAUGCGUAGCCGACCUGAGAGAGUGGUCGGCCACACUGGAACUGAGACACGGUCCAGGCUCCUACGAGAGGCAGCAGUAGGGAAUCUUCCGCAAAAGUCGAAAGCCUUACGGAGCAACGCCGCGUGAGUGAUGAAGGUGUUCGGAUCGUAAAAAUCUGUUAUGAGGUAAGAACAAAUGUGUAAGUAACUAUGCACGACUUGACGGUACCUGAACAGAAAGCCACGGCUAACUACGUG